AACCUACCUAUAAGACUGGGAUAACUUCGGGAAACCGGAGCUAAUACCGGAUAAUAUUUUGAACCGCAUGGUUCAAAAGUGAAAGACGGUCUUGCUGUCACUUAUAGAUGGAUCCGCGCUGCAUUAGCUAGUUGGUAAGGUAACGGCUUACCAAGGCAACGAUGCAUAGCCGACCUGAGAGGGUGAUCGGCCACACUGGAACUGAGACACGGUCCAGACUCCUACGGGAGGCAGCAGUAGGGAAUCUUCCGCAAUGGGCGAAAGCCUGACGGAGCAACGCCGCGUGAGUGAUGAAGGUCUUCGGAUCGUAAAACUCUGUUAUUAGGGAAGAACAUAUGUGUAAGUAACUGUGCACAUCUUGACGGUACCUAAUCAGAAAGCCACGGCUAACUACGUGCCAGCAGCCGCGGUAAUACGUAGGUGGCAAGCGUUAUCCGGAAUUAUUGGGCGUAAAGCGCGCGUAGGCGGUUUUUUAAGUCUGAUGUGAAAGCCCACGGCUCAACCGUGGAGGGUCAUUGGAAACUGGAAAACUUGAGUGCAGAAGAGGAAAGUGGAAUUCCAUGUGUAGCGGUGAAAUGCGCAGAGAUAUGGAGGAACACCAGUGGCGAAGGCGACUUUCUGGUCUGUAACUGACGCUGAUGUGCGAAAGCGUGGGGAUCAAACAGGAUUAGAUACCCUGGUAGUCCACGCCGUAAACGAUGAGUGCUAAGUGUUAGGGGGUUU
This 723-nucleotide ribosomal RNA is filed under the name Staphylococcus aureus. RNAcentral describes it as "bacterial SSU rRNA". It matches the Rfam family "Bacterial small subunit ribosomal RNA", at positions 123 to 833 of the family's 1533-position model. The record is from RNAcentral. Lineage: Bacteria; Bacillati; Bacillota; Bacilli; Caryophanales; Staphylococcaceae.